CAGCAUCAGAUACCUGGGCUACACAUACUGAGACAGAGAGGUGCUGUUUCACUGUCCAGACAGCAUCAGAUACCUGGUCUACACAUACUGAGACAGAGAGGUGCUGUUUCACUGUCCAGACAGCAUCAGAUACCUGGUCUACACAUACUGAGACAGAGAGGUGCUGUUUCACUGUCCAGACAGCAUCAGAGAGAUGCUGUUUCACUGUCCAGACAGCAUCAGAGAGAUGCUGUUUCACUGUCCAGACAGCAUCAGAGAGAUGCUGUUUCACUGACCAGACAGCAUCAGAUACAUGGUCUACACAUACUGAGACAGAGAGAUGCUGUUUCACUGUCCAGACAGCAUCAGAGAGAUGCUGUUUCACUGUCCAGACAGCAUCAGAGAG
Molecule: long non-coding RNA, 385 nt
Filed under: Salmo salar (Atlantic salmon)
Lineage: Eukaryota; Metazoa; Chordata; Actinopteri; Salmoniformes; Salmonidae
Description: lncRNA (ENSSSAG00000110840.1)
Source: RNAcentral